Molecule: ribosomal RNA, 459 nt
Filed under: uncultured bacterium
Lineage: Bacteria
Description: partial 16S ribosomal RNA
Rfam family: Bacterial small subunit ribosomal RNA
Source: RNAcentral
GAUGAACGCUGGCGGCGCGCCUAACACAUGCAAGUCGAACGGCACCCCUCCUCGGAGGGAAGCGCGUGGCGAACGGCUGAGUAACACGUGGAGAACCUGCCCCCUCCCCCGGGAUAGCCGCCCGAAAGGACGGGUAAUACCGGAUACCCCGGGGUGCCGCAUGGCACCCCGGCUAAAGCCCCGACGGGAGGGGAUGGCUCCGCGGCCAAUCAGGUAGACGGCGGGGUGACGGCCCACCGUGCCGACAACGGGUAGCCGGGUUGAGAGACCGACCGGCCAGAUUGGGACUGAGACACGGCCCAGACUCCUACGGGAGGCAGCAGUGGGGAAUCUUGCGCAAUGGGGGGAACCCUGACGCAGCGACGCCGCGUGCGGGACGGAGGCCUUCGGGUCGUAAACCGCUUUCAGCAGGGAAGAGUCAAGACUGUACCUGCAGAAGAAGCCCCGGCUAACUACGUG